GGAAUCCCAGAAAUUUCCAUUUCCAUGUGGCUGUUGCAAUGCCGGUGGUUGUUGAGAACUAAAUAAUCAUUAAUGAUGAUUUUCCAGAUCAAUUUUGGAUCAAGGGGCAACAGUCUUUCAACACCAGGAGGCAGGCACGAAGCCGGAAUGGCAGGCGGAGGUCUUACCCGGGAAAGGCUGUCUGGCGAGGGCAGACGAUUGCAGGUGCUUCAG
This is a long non-coding RNA of Hypanus sabinus (Atlantic stingray), 213 nucleotides long. RefSeq lists it as uncharacterized. NCBI's taxonomy places the organism in Eukaryota, Metazoa, Chordata, Chondrichthyes, Myliobatiformes, Dasyatidae. The transcript has 3 exons. The record is from RefSeq and is a predicted model, not a curated record.